CAUGGCUCAGAUUGAACGCUGGCGGCAUGCUUUACACAUGCAAGUCGGACGGCAGCACAGAGAAGCUUGCUUCUUGGGUGGCGAGUGGCGAACGGGUGAGUAACAUAUCGGAACGUACCGAGUAGUGGGGGAUAACUGAUCGAAAGAUUAGCUAAUACCGCAUACGUCUUGAGAGGGAAAGCAGGGGACCUUCGGGCCUUGCGCUAUUCGAGCGGCCGAUAUCUGAUUAGCUAGUUGGUGGGGUAAAGGCCUACCAAGGCGACGAUCAGUAGCGGGUCUGAGAGGAUGAUCCGCCACACUGGGACUGAGACACGGCCCAGACUCCUACGG
This 330-nucleotide ribosomal RNA is filed under the name uncultured bacterium. RNAcentral's name for it is "bacterial SSU rRNA". It matches the Rfam family "Bacterial small subunit ribosomal RNA", at positions 18 to 344 of the family's 1533-position model. The record is from RNAcentral.